AUGCAUCUCUUUGACAGACCUAGAGCAGUUAUGUCUGCUGCUGAGGUUUCCAGUACAGAUGCAAGAAAAAGUGUCCUCGCGCUUUCUGUCUGAAUGAUUGUGGCAGCCAAGAUUGAGUAGAGGACUACAGGG
Molecule: small nucleolar RNA, 132 nt
Organism: Perognathus longimembris pacificus (Pacific pocket mouse)
Lineage: Eukaryota; Metazoa; Chordata; Mammalia; Rodentia; Heteromyidae
Product: small nucleolar RNA SNORA31
Exons: 1
Source: RefSeq, a predicted model, not a curated record